This 497-nucleotide ribosomal RNA is filed under the name uncultured bacterium. RNAcentral describes it as "partial 16S ribosomal RNA". It matches the Rfam family "Bacterial small subunit ribosomal RNA", at positions 28 to 507 of the family's 1533-position model. The record is from RNAcentral.
GAUGAACGCUGGCGGCGUGCCUAAUACAUGCAAGUCGAGCGAACAGACGAGGAGCUUGCUCCUCUGACGUUAGCGGCGGACGGGUGAGUAACACGUGGAUAACCUACCUAUAAGACUGGGAUAACUUCGGGAAACCGGAGCUAAUACCGGAUAAUAUAUUGAACCUCAUGGUUCAAUAGUGAAAGACGGUUUUGCUGUCACUUAUAGAUGGAUCCGCGCCGCAUUAGCUAGUUGGUAAGGUAACGGCUUACCAAGGCAACGAUGCGUAGCCGACCUGAGAGGGUGAUCGGCCACACUGGAACUGAGACACGGUCCAGACUCCUACGGGAGGCAGCAGUAGGGAAUCUUCCGCAAAGGGCGAAAGCUUGACGGAGCAACGCCGCGUGAGUGAUGAAGGUCUUCGGAUCGUAAAACUCUGUUAUUAGGGAAGAACAAAUGUGUAAGUAACUAUGCACGUCUUGACGGUACCUAAUCAGAAAGCCACGGCUAACUACGUG